CAGGGUAUGCAGAAUGCUGCUCCUAAUACAGCUAGAAGUCCACCUCCUAACAACAUGGGAGGAAUGCCUUACAACAAUAGGGGAGGUAUGCCAGCCAACAACAUGGGGGGAGGAAUGCCGCCUCCUAACAAUAUGGGAGGAAUGCCGCCUCCUAACAAUAUGGGAGGAAUGCCGCCUCCUAACAGUAUGGGAGGAAUGCCACCGCGGAACAACAUGGGAGGAGGAAUGCCGCCUCCUAACAAUAUGGGAGGAAUGCCGCCUCCUAACAACAUGGGAGGAGGAAUGCCGCCGCCGAACAACAUGGGUGGGAUGCCACCGGGUCCACCGAAUCAAGGAUGGUCUGGUAACAUGGGUGGAAAUGCUCAGAAUUUCCAAAAUCCUUACCAAGGUAAUACACAGAAUGUGCAAUAUCCGAAUAACCAUCCGCCAAAUAUGGGCGGGCCUGGUGGGAAUUACCAGUCUU
RNAcentral lists this long non-coding RNA (463 nucleotides) under Gossypium raimondii (Peruvian cotton). RNAcentral describes it as "long non-coding RNA (GRAI_LNC007574)". Lineage: Eukaryota; Viridiplantae; Streptophyta; Magnoliopsida; Malvales; Malvaceae. The record is from RNAcentral.